This 706-nucleotide long non-coding RNA is filed under the name Androctonus crassicauda. Lineage: Eukaryota; Metazoa; Arthropoda; Arachnida; Scorpiones; Buthidae. The record is from RNAcentral.
CCCUCUUCAGGCUACAAACUUUUGAAAGAUUGUAGCCUGAAGAGGGUGGUAAAGCCAUUGAGGAUAUUGCUUUAAUAAAGAUGAUGUGUUCUACAACUGCCGAGUAGUGCUUUAAAGCUGAUUUAACUGUAUAUUGAAACAGAUGAUCAACAAUUACCUUCUGAUGAGAAUGACAAUAAGGCUAACAACUAACAACAGAAUCAAUAAAGUGAAGCAGUUUUGAAAAACUGCUUUCAUUUCUUUGAUUAUAUUUCAAGACAGUUUUCAAAACUGUCUUGAAAUAUAACCAAGGAAAAUGAAAGCAGUCUUUUUUAAAAAAUGUUUAGCCUUCAGUUGGACCAAAUGUGAGAAUCAAACUACUGGAUGUAGAUGGGCCAAAUUUGAUAAAAAAUCAAUUAUAACUAUUAUCAUGAGUAUUCAAUAUGAUGACUUUUAUCAACUCUAUACCAAAACUGGAAAAUUGAAAUCAUUGUACAUUAGAAACAAUUUAUACUGUAAAAAGAAAAUUUUAUCUGCAUUAAAAAAAUAGGAAAAGGUUAAUGUAUAGGAAAUAAUUAGUAAAUUAUCUUUUACUGAAAGUCAAGGAUUCAAAAGCAAACUGUUUAUUAAAGUUUUAAUGAAAAAAUGCAAAUCCUCUUCCAUAUUGUGCAAUUCUAAAUUUCAUAAUAGUUAAACCUUGUUGCUAUAGUAACUUGGAGUGAAUGCG